Molecule: ribosomal RNA, 499 nt
Filed under: uncultured bacterium
Lineage: Bacteria
Description: bacterial SSU rRNA
Rfam family: Bacterial small subunit ribosomal RNA
Source: RNAcentral
GGGGACUUCGGUCCUAGUGGCGAACGGUCGCGUAACACGUAAGCAACCUGCCCUGAAGUGGGGGACAACAUCCCGAAAGGGGUGCUAAUACCGCAUGUGGUCACGAGUCGGCAUCGGCUUGUGUCUAAAGAUUUAUCGCUUCAGGAUGGGCUUGCGGCCUAUCAGGUAGUUGGUGGGGUAAUGGCCUACCAAGCCGACGACGGGUAGCUGGUCUGAGAGGACGAUCAGCCGGAUUGGGACUGAGAUACGGCCCAGACUCCUACGGGGGGCAGCAAUUAGGAAUCUUGCGCAAUGGGGGAAACCCUGACGCAGCGACGUCGCGUGAAGGAUGAAGGCCCUCGGGUCGUAAACUUCUUUUGAGUGGGAAGAAAUUUGACGGUACCACUCGAAUAAGCCCCGGCUAACUACGUGCCAGCAGCCGCGGUAAUACGUAGGGGGCGAGCGUUGUCCGAAGUUACUGGGCGUAAAGCGCGCGUAGGCGGUUAUUCAAGUCUGGGGU